CCUACGGGUGGCAGCAGUGAGGAAUAUUGGUCAAUGGCCGGAAGGCUGAAGUAGCCAAGCCGCGUGAAGGACGAAGGUGCUAAGCAUUGUAAACUUCUUUUGUCAAGGGACAAAAUCAGGCUCGAGAGCCUGACCGAGGGUACUUGAAGAAAAAGCAUCGGCUAACUCCGUGCCAGCAGCCGCGGUAAUACGGUGGAUGCGAGCGUUAUCCGGAUUUAUUGGGUUUAAAGGGUGCGUAGGCGGACGGUUAAGUCAGCGGUAAAAGCCCGGGGCUCAACCCCGACGAGCCGUUGAAACUGGCUGUCUUGAGAUGGCGAGAGGUAUGCGGAAUGCGCGGUGUAGCGGUGAAAUGCUUAGAGAUUGGGAAGAACUCCGAUGGCGAAGGCAGCAUACCGGCGGCGAACUGACGCUGAGGCACGAAAGCGUGGGUAUCGAACAGGAUUAGAUACCCUUGUAGUC
RNAcentral lists this ribosomal RNA (459 nucleotides) under uncultured bacterium. Its description in RNAcentral is "partial 16S ribosomal RNA". It matches the Rfam family "Bacterial small subunit ribosomal RNA", at positions 338 to 795 of the family's 1533-position model. The record is from RNAcentral.